GGUCAUGAGUGCCAGCGGAUAGCUCCGGCUUGCUGGCCGGCAACCCUCCUACCGCGGUGGGGUGCCCCGGAUGAAGACCUGGCUUGGUGCGAGGUGCAUCAGGCAAGCGCGGACC
Molecule: non-coding RNA, 115 nt
Filed under: Nakamurella panacisegetis
Lineage: Bacteria; Bacillati; Actinomycetota; Actinomycetes; Nakamurellales; Nakamurellaceae
Description: SAM-IV sequence
Rfam family: SAM (S-adenosyl methionine) riboswitch aptamer
About the family: SAM-IV is a mRNA element that regulates gene expression via direct sensing of S-adenosylmethionine (SAM or AdoMet). SAM-IV riboswitches share conserved nucleotide positions with the previously described SAM-I riboswitches sequence analysis and molecular recognition experiments suggest that SAM-I and SAM-IV riboswitches share similar ligand binding sites, but have different scaffolds.
Source: Rfam by way of RNAcentral